AUACGUAGGUGGCAAGCGUUGUCCGGAAUUAUUGGGCGUAAAGCGCGCGCAGGUGGUUCCUUAAGUCUGAUGUGAAAGCCCCCGGCUCAACCGGGGAGGGUCAUUGGAAACUGGGGAACUUGAGUGCAGAAGAGGAUAGUGGAAUUCCAAGUGUAGCGGUGAAAUGAGUAGAGAUUUGGAGGAACACCAGUGGCGAAGGCGACUGUCUGGUCUGUAACUGACGCUGAGGCGCGAAAGUGUGGGGAGCAAACAGGAUUAGAUACCCUGGUAGUCCACGCCGUAAACGAUGAGUGCUAAGUGUUGGGGGGUUUCCGCCCCUCAGUGCUGCAGCUAACGCAUUAAGCACUCCGCCUGGGGAGUACGGUCGCAAGACUGAAACUCAAAGGAAUUGACGGGG
RNAcentral lists this ribosomal RNA (397 nucleotides) under uncultured bacterium. RNAcentral describes it as "partial 16S ribosomal RNA". It matches the Rfam family "Bacterial small subunit ribosomal RNA", at positions 523 to 918 of the family's 1533-position model. The record is from RNAcentral.